GACGAACGCUGGCGGCGUGCCUAAUACAUGCAAGUAGGACGCAGUUGCGAACGGGUGAGUAACGCGUAGGUAACUACCUAUUAGAGGGGGAUAACUAUUGGAAACGAUAGCUAAUACCGCAUACUAGUAGAUGGACCUGCGUUGUAUUAGCUAGUAGGUAGGGUAAUGGCCUACCUAGGCAACGAGACAUAGCCGACCUGGUAGGGUGAUCUGCCACACGGUGACUGAGAAAAGGCCCAGACUCCUACGGGAGGCAGCAGGAGGGAAUCUUCGGCAAUGGGGGGAACUCUGACCGAGCACCGCCGCGGGAGUGAAUAAGUUUUUCGGAUCGUAAAGCUCUGUUGUUAAGGAAGCGGUACUUAACCAGAAAGGGACGGCUAACUACGUGCCAGCAGCCGCGGUAAUAC
Molecule: ribosomal RNA, 407 nt
Filed under: uncultured bacterium
Lineage: Bacteria
Description: partial 16S ribosomal RNA
Rfam family: Bacterial small subunit ribosomal RNA
Source: RNAcentral